CGAGAUAGUAGUAACAACGAAUAGUGAGAAGUCAGCAAAAGCCAUAGUAGUGAUGAAACCUCAGUAAUAGAGGUGGAACGAAGGGC
This 86-nucleotide non-coding RNA is filed under the name Keratinibaculum paraultunense. Lineage: Bacteria; Bacillati; Bacillota; Tissierellia; Tissierellales; Tepidimicrobiaceae. The record is from RNAcentral.